UAGGAUUGAGCCUAAUUGGAUAUUCAUAUGUUGCAUAGGUUGUGUAGUUGGGUUGAGGGUUUAAACCUUUUCAUCGUCUAGGUAUUGUUAACCACAUAUCACAUAUUGAAAUCAUAAUAAGGGAUGGUAAGACCUUUUACUCAUAAAAUAUAAAGGCAUUGUUUCCAAGAUGUCGAGCAUGCCUAGUUUCAUAGAUGUUCAAAUUGGUCACAUUAAAUUAGUUAAUCAAGAUUUUGAAGAUUCCUACUCAUAAUGCUGCCCAUAUUGAAUACCUUUGCCAACAUACCUGAUUAUACCACUCCCACACAUGCGUGAUACUUCUAUUUUUUUUUGCCGGGUUUCUACAAGAAAGUGUCCCUACAAUGUUAAAAGAUUAUGAUCCUGUGACCCAUGGUGACAUCACUUGCUUUCUUGGUAGCAUUUGGCACAUGAGAAGUACUUGCAAACUAAGCCACAGGGAGACAUACAAUUGAUAUCAAUCCCAUAUCCAUCAUCUACCCAAAUUUAUUAUGCUCUACGGUACCUUUUGUACUCCAAUGUCUAGCCCAACUGAUCGUUAUCAGAAUUAGCAUCCAUUUAGCCUGGGUCCCUACUAAUCCUAUUCAUAGUUAAGUAAUAAAUA
This 622-nucleotide long non-coding RNA is filed under the name Elaeis guineensis (African oil palm). Its description in RNAcentral is "long non-coding RNA (EGUI_LNC016802)". Lineage: Eukaryota; Viridiplantae; Streptophyta; Magnoliopsida; Arecales; Arecaceae. The record is from RNAcentral.